Molecule: ribosomal RNA, 459 nt
Filed under: uncultured bacterium
Lineage: Bacteria
Description: partial 16S ribosomal RNA
Rfam family: Bacterial small subunit ribosomal RNA
Source: RNAcentral
CCUACGGGAGGCAGCAGUGAGGAAUAUUGGUCAAUGGACGCGAGCCUGAACCAGCCAAGUCGCGUGCAGGAAGACGGUCCUAUGGGUUGUAAACUGCUUUUGUCCGGGGGUAAACUGCGCCACGCGUGGCGUUCUGAAAGUACCCCACGAAUAAGCAUCGGCUAACUCCGUGCCAGCAGCCGCGGUAAUACGGAGGAUUCGAGCGUUAUCCGGAUUUAUUGGGUUUAAAGGGUGCGUAGGCGGAAGAUCAAGUCAGCGGUAAAAUUCCGAGGCUCAACCUCGGCGAGCCGUUGAUACUGGUGGUCUUGAGUGAGGUAGCAGUAGGCGGAAUGUGUGGUGUAGCGGUGAAAUGCAUAGAUAUCAUGCAGAACUCCGAUUGCGAAGGCAGCAUACCGGCGCUCAACUGACGCUCAUGCACGAAAGUGUGGGUAUCGAACAGGAUUAGAUACCCCUGUAGUC